RNAcentral lists this ribosomal RNA (916 nucleotides) under uncultured ammonia-oxidizing archaeon. RNAcentral's name for it is "bacterial SSU rRNA". It matches the Rfam family "Archaeal small subunit ribosomal RNA", at positions 1 to 925 of the family's 1478-position model. The record is from RNAcentral.
AUUUUCCGGUUGAUCCUGCCGGACCGAGAGCGGUCAGAGUGAGAUUAAGCCAUGCGAGUCAACGUAGAAUAUGUGGCACACGGCUCAGUAACACGUAGUCAACAUAACCAAAGGACGUGGAUAAACUCGGGAAACUGAGGCUAAACCGCGAUAGACCAAAAUACCUGGAAUGGUUUUUGAUUAAAAUCUAUAUGGCCUUUGGAUUGGACUGCGACCGAUCAGGCUGUUGGUGAGGUAAUGGCCCACCAAACCUGUAACCGGUACGGGCUCUGAGAGGAGGAGCCCGGAGAUGGGUACUGAGACAAGGACCCAGGCCCUAUGGGGCGCAGCAGGCGCGAAACCUCUGCAAUAGGCGAAAGCCUGACAGGGUUAUUCUGAGUGACUUUCGCUAAGAAAGUCUUUUGACACCUUUAAAAAUGGUGUAGAAUAAGGGGUGGGCAAGUCUGGUGUCAGCCGCCGCGGUAAUACCAGCACCCCGAGUGGUCGGGACGAUUAUUGGGCCUAAAGCAUCCGCAGCCGGUUUUACAAGUCCUCCGUUAAAUCCAACUGCUUAACAGAUGGGCCGCGGAGGAUACUAUAAGACUAGGAGGCAGGAGAGGCAAGCGGUACUCAGUGGGUAGGGGUAAAAUCCGUUGAUCCAUUGAAGACCACCAGUGGCGAAGGCGGCUUGCCAGAAUGCGCUCGACGGUGAGGGAUGAAAGCUGGGGGAGCAAACCGGAUUAGAUACCCGGGUAGUCCCAGCUGUAAACGAUGCUCGGCUGAUCUCAUGGACUAGCUUCAUGCUAGUCCAGUGCCGCAGGGAAGCCGUUAAGUCCGCCGCCUGGGUAGUACGGUCGCAAACCUAAACUUAAAGGAAUUGGCGGGGGAGCACCACAAGGCCUCAUCCUGCGGUUCAAUUGGAUCAACGACCGGAAAU